GACGAACGCUGGCGGCGUGCUUAACACAUGCAAGUCGAACGGAAAGGCCCUGCUUUUGUGGGGUGCUCGAGUGGCGAACGGGUGAGUAACACGUGAGUAACCUGCCCUUGACUUUGGGAUAACUUCAGGAAACUGGGGCUAAUACCGGAUAGGAGCUCCUGCUGCAUGGUGGGGGUUGGAAAGUUUCGGCGGCUGGGGAUGGACUCGCGGCUUAUCAGCUUGUUGGUGGGGUAGUGGCUUACCAAGGCUUUGACGGGUAGUCGGCCUGAGAGGGUGACCGGCCACAUUGGGACUGAGAUACGGCCCAGACUCCUACGGGAGGCAGCAGUGGGGAAUAUUGCACAAUGGGCGGAAGCCUGAUGCAGCAACGCCGCGUGCGGGAUGACGGCCUUCGGGUUGUAAACCGCUUUCGCCUGUGACGAAGCGUGAGUGACGGUAAUGGGUAAAGAAGCACCGGCUAACUACGUG
Molecule: ribosomal RNA, 468 nt
Filed under: uncultured bacterium
Lineage: Bacteria
Description: partial 16S ribosomal RNA
Rfam family: Bacterial small subunit ribosomal RNA
Source: RNAcentral